Long non-coding RNA from Papaver somniferum (opium poppy), 1373 nucleotides. RefSeq lists it as uncharacterized. Lineage: Eukaryota; Viridiplantae; Streptophyta; Magnoliopsida; Ranunculales; Papaveraceae. The transcript has 2 exons. The record is from RefSeq and is a predicted model, not a curated record.
UCUCUUUUCUUCUUUCCUAUUCUUCUCUUCUUUUUCUUCUGUUCUUUCUCCUUUCUCUCUGUUGUUCUUCAGUUCGGUGAUUUUGAGCUUAGAGUUGAUGCAAGUAAUUUUAGAAAUAUGGCGGUUGUUGAAUCUUAGAGGUAGGGGUUGUUGUUAUGGAUUAUUUAGAUUGGGAGGAGAAGUUUUUGAUGCUGUUGUGAAUCGGAAGAUUGGGUUUUUGUUUUGGAGUUAUUGAUGAGACUCGAGAGAUGAAGAAUUAGAUUGUGGUAAUGUUUUUGAUAGAGGAAUUAAUAAGUAAUCGAGAAAUUGCAGAGAUCAAAGAAAGAGAACCGUGGUUGUGAGAUUAGGGUUUGGUAUGGGUUUGAAAGGUGAAUUGGGUUGCGGUUAGGUGAAGAACAGAAGGGUUGUAGUCGAAUUGAAGUAUUUAAGUUGUUUCAGUGAUGAAUCGAAGAGUUAGGGUUAGGGUUUUGGAAUUCAAUGGAAGAUUUUUGAUGAGGAAGAUGAAAUUGAGGAUUUAAGUGACAGAUUAGAGAUGGGUUUGGUUGAAUUGAGGAGCUGAAUGGAUGUUAUAAACUCGAAUUGGGGAUUAAAAAUUGAUCUAGGGUUUAUAUGAGGGUUGAUGGUGAUAAUGAAGACUUAAGGUUUUUAUUUGAGAUUGAGAAUAGAAGACUAAUAUCAGAGAAUAAUUGGUGAUGGUGGAGUUGCAUCAAAGGCUGUUUCAAACUCAGGGGAGAUAGGAAUUAUGGUUUCAGCAUCAGUGGGUGGUGGAACAACAAUUCAGGAAAGACUAUUGUUGGAUUGAGAAGAUGAACUGAAGAGUGGUGACGGAAGAAGAGUUGAUAUUGUUACAAGCUAGUGUUGCUAUUCUUGUGAAUCACAGCAUAAUGGACACUGGUGGUGUUAGUGGUUGUUGAUGCAGUGAGAAUUAUAGAUAAAGAUGGAUGGAUGAAUUAGGUGAUGUAUGAACUUGUACAGAUGGGGUGCAGGUGAUGUUGGUAUGGUAAGUACAGGGUCUUGGAGAUGUUAAGGGAGUUGAAUUUCAGGUUUUAGAAGUUGUAGUUGGAGGUAAGAUUAGUGGAUCAAGAAGUAUGAGAUGAAUUUAGUAUUUAAAAUGUAUUAGGUGAUGGAACUGAGAUGGUAUUACAGUUCAUAGGAAUGUGCUAAUGCUAUGAGAGUUGUGGUUGAGCUAAGGGAUAUGAGAAUUGAAAAUUGUAUGAUGUUGUAGACUGAAGAGAGGUUAGAUGAUUAAAUAUAGAGUUGAUAGUAUGUAAGAAGAAUGAAAGCUUGGAACUGCAAUUGCAGGUAAGCUGUAUUGGUGUUUGUAAUUAGAUUUGAAGUUGUUUAAUUAAAAUUGUACGAAAUUUUGUUCUUAA